UACGUAGGGUCCGAGCGUUGUCCGGAAUUAUUGGGCGUAAAGGGCUCGUAGGCGGUUUGUCGCGUCGGGAGUGAAAACUUACAGCUUAACUGUGGGCUUGCUUUCGAUACGGGCAGACUUGAGGCAUGCAGGGGAGAACGGAAUUCCUGGUGUAGCGGUGAAAUGCGCAGAUAUCAGGAGGAACACCGGUGGCGAAGGCGGUUCUCUGGGCAUGUUCUGACGCUGAGGAGCGAAAGUGUGGGGAGCGAGCAGG
RNAcentral lists this ribosomal RNA (253 nucleotides) under uncultured bacterium. RNAcentral's name for it is "partial 16S ribosomal RNA". It matches the Rfam family "Bacterial small subunit ribosomal RNA", at positions 524 to 776 of the family's 1533-position model. The record is from RNAcentral.